Oncorhynchus kisutch (coho salmon) is the source of this 6801-nucleotide long non-coding RNA. NCBI's taxonomy places the organism in Eukaryota, Metazoa, Chordata, Actinopteri, Salmoniformes, Salmonidae. The record is from Ensembl.
AUGUUUCCUGGUAUUGUUAAGAUCAUUGUCAGUGUCAUUUCAACCUUAUUGAUGUCUAUCUACAAUAGUCCCUGGCCUGUGGCCUACCCAGUACCAUUAUGUAUGGUGUACCUAUUCAAUAAUCUUCCUAUGUCAUUCACAGAUGGAGUCCCCAGCUCCCGAGGGGUUAAGCAAAGCUUCCAGACACAGCUGGCUACCAGUCACAUGAUCAGGCCCAUCUCUACCAUCCAUAGAGCAAGCCCACGAUCCAAUGUGACAAUGAUGUCCGCAUCACCAAUCUGGACUCAAAAUCGGGUAACCCUGAAUGAAACACCUGAGAGUUGUCGAAAGACAGAAGAGCAUAUCGACUUUGGCGUAGGGUCCAACCACCAGGUAAGUUGUUCAACGCCUUACCCCAAAGUACCACAGGACGGAAUUUCAGUCCACCACUUCAGACCCCAAGAUGUCCAUAUAGAAGUCAACUAUGCUGAGCCUCUCUCACCUCCCACUGAAGAGGCAGGAGCUGAUGUUGUAUCUUUGCUUGGAUCUGACCACAAGGAACAAUCCAUGUGGGAUAUGGAAAAGGAGGAAGAGGAUCAGAACAUAGUCAGAACCUGGUUUGCUGAAGAGAAACCCGUUCUGGAAUCUGCCAUGAGUCACCGGGUCGAGACCAGCUUCAGUAUGCCAACUGUGUUCAGCACUGAUGCUCAAGAGCUCUACAGCCCUUCAGUGAGCUAUGAGAGAGCAGGUUCGGUGACAGGGGCACAUUCUGCUUUCUCAGCGAAUGAUGAUAAUGAUAUACCUUUUGAAAUGUCUUUUGAAAAAGAGGAACCUCUACUAGAUAUGCCUUAUGGUCCCAUGAAUGCAUCGGAGGAAAGAGAGCUUGAAACAGCAAAGAAAGAUGCUGAAUGGGCGGGAAACGAAGGCUUGGAAUCUGAAACUGCAUCAAUGCUAGAACAAGCAUUUGAGACCUUCACAAGCAGUCAAGCUUUUGAGUAUGGGGCGGGGAAAAGUUACAACAAGCCAAUAGAGCUUAACCAAGAGGACAAUAUGUCAUAUGAAUCCACUCAAGCCUCCCACGGUUCAGAAGAGGCAUUUCGCCAUGUUAAAAGACUGGAGGAAGAUGUUAUUCAUCUCCCAAAAGAGGAUGAAAAUGAUAUGUCUAACAAACAUGAGGAGCAAUUGGAAGAUGAAUUGCACCCCUAUGGGUAUGGUAAGGAUGAUCGUGAAAGAUUGGGAGGAUUCAUUAAGGAAAAUGACAUGACAGAAAGAAUCGAUAAGUUCAACCAAGAGGAGAUUAUCUCAUAUGAAUCUGCUCAAGCUUCUCACUGGUCAGAAGAGGUAUUUCACCAUGUUGAAAGAGUGGAGGAAGGUGACAUAAAUUUCACAAAAGUGGAUGAUGAAAAUGAUAUGUCUAACAAACGUGAGGAACAACAUGCACUGAACCCCAACGGGGAUGUAAAGGAUGAAUGGGAUCGAGUGGCAGGGUACAAUGAAGAGAAUGGAAUUGGAGAAAGAAUGGAUGAUUGGAAAGAAGGAAAGUAUCAUAUGAAAGGGGAAGAGAUGUGGAAUAACAGAGAAACCCAACCCAAUCGGGCUGAUCAAGAGUAUAUACCUUCAAAUGAAGAGAAACUAAAUCAAUUCGAGCAAGAGCAAAUACCUUCAGGCAGAGAGAAACUGAAUCAGUCUGAGCAAAGGUAUAUCAAUUCAAACGGAGAGAAACUGAAUCAAUCUGAGCAAGAGCAUAUACCUUCAGGUGGAGAGAAACUGAAUAUAUCCGACAAUGACAAAGAGGAUCAUGAUGAGGCAAACUACUGUCAAAAUAAUUCUGUUUCAUGGAGGGCUGAGCUAGAAGGCGACAGCUAUGCUCAGGACAACACACUAGCCGACACACACCCCUUGAUCCGUUACAAGAGUGACGAGACGGAUGUCAACACUCAGGCUUCACACUUGGGCGAGAGUGACUCCAGUGAUGGUGAAGAGGACAGGGAGGUUUGCCAGACAGGAACAGACACCUGGGGCGAAGGCAAGUCCAAACAGUUUGACACCAUGGAGGAUCUGUAUGAAGAGUCAGAAGGAGAUGUCAUAGAUCAGGAACGUAACAUGGGCUCCACUCACCAAGAGGACAUGGAUGCUAGCCAAACAAAGGAGCAUUCUACACAGGAGAACGAUGAGGAGAAUGCUGUAGAUCAGUUGAUUCAGGAGGCAGAAGAGGAGCAAUCCUAUGAGGAACUUACAGAACCUGGAGAGUACUCCAUGGUGUGCUCUGAUGAGGACUAUAAUGAAGAAAGAAUUGAUAGAUUGGUGGAGCAAGAGCUAGAGAAUUUAUCUAUAUCCAGUUACAGUGAACACUUUACUGGGCAGAUGAUUGAGAGCGAGUCAGUACUGAGUCUUCAAAUUGAGUCUCACACUGAACUUUCCCAGACACAAGACAUAUUAUACAGUGAGGAGGUAGAGCAGAUACACUCAGAGAGACUGAAUCAAUCUGAACAAGAGUAUAUACACUCAGAGAGACUGAAUCAAUCUGAACAAGAGUAUAUACACUCAGAGAGACUGAAUCAAUCUGAACAAGAGUAUAUACACUCAGAGAGACUGAAUCAACCUGAGCAAGAGUAUAUACACUCAGAGAGACUGAAUCAACCUGAGCAAGAGUAUAUACACUCAGAGAGACUGAAUCAACCUGAGCAAGAGUAUAUACACUCAGAGAGACUGAAUCAACCUGAGCAAGAGUAUAUACACUCAGAGAGACUGAAUCAAUCUGAACAAGAGUAUAUACCUUCAGGAGGAGAGAAACUGAAUCUAAAUGCACAAGAACACAUAUCCUCAGAUGGAGAGAAUCUGAAUCAAUCUGAACAAGAGUAUAUACCCUCAGGCGGAGAGAAACUUAAUCUAUAUGUGCAAGAAAACAUACCCUCAGAUGGAGAGAAAAUGAAUCAAUCUGAACAGGAGAAGAUACCUUCAGGAGGAGAGAAACUGAAUCAAUCUGAGCCAGAGUAUAUCAUUUCAGGCGGAGAGAAACUGAAUCAAUCCGAGCCAGAGUACAUAACUUCAGGCGGAGAUAAACUGAAUCUAUAUGUGCAAGAACACAUACCAACAGACGGAGAGGAACUGAAUCAAUCUGAACAAGAGGAUAUAACUUCAGGCGGGGAGACACUGGAUAUAUGUGAGCAAGAACAUAUACCCUCAGACAGAGAAAAAAUGAAUCAAUCCGAGCAAGAAAAUAUACCUUUAGAUGGAGAAAAACUGAAUCAAUUUGAGCAAGAAAAUAUACCUUUAGGUGGAGAAAAACUGAAUCAAUUUGAGCAAGAAAAUAUAACUUUAGGUGGAGAGAAACUGAAUCAAUCUGAACAAGAGAAGAUACCUUCAGGAGGAGAGAAACUGAAUCAAUCCGAGCCAGAGGAUAUACCUUCAAACGGAGAGAAACAGAACGUAAAUGCACUAGAACACAUACCCUCAGACAGAGAGAAACUGAAUCAAUCCGUGCCAGAGUACAUAACUUCAGGCGGAGAGAAACUGAAUCUAUAUGCGCAAGAACAUAUACCCUCAGAUGGAGAGAAACUGAAUCUAUAUGUGCAAGAACAUAUACCCUCAGACAGAGAGAAACUGAAUCAAUCUGAACAAGAGGAUAUAACUUCAGGCGGGGAGAAACUGAAUCAAUCCGAGCAAGAAAAUAUACCUUUAGGUGGAGAGAAACUGAAUCAAUUUGAGCAAGAAAAUAUACCUUUAGGUGGAGAGAAACUGAAUCAAUUUGAGCAAGAAAAUAUACCUUUAGGUGGAGAGAAACUGAAUCAAUUCGAGCAAGAAAAUAUACCUUUAGGUGGAGAGAAACUGAAUCAAUUCGAGCAAGAAAAUAUACCUUUAGGUGGAGAGACACUGGAUAUAUGUGAGCAAGAACAUAUACCCUCAGAUGGAGAGAAAAUUUAUCAAUCCGAGCCAGAGGAUAUACCUUCAAACGGAGAGAAACAGAACGUAAAUGCACAAGAACACAUACCCUCAGACAGAGAGAAACUGAAUCAAUCCGUGCCAGAGUACAUAACUUCAGGCGGAGAGAAACUGAAUCUAUAUGCGCAAGAACAUAUACCCUCAGAUGGAGAGAAACUGAAUCUAUAUGUGCAAGAACAUAUACCCUCAGACAGAGAGAAACUGAAUCAAUCUGAACAAGAGGAUAUAACUUCAGGCGGGGAGAAACUGAACCAAUCCGAGCAAGAAGAUAUAACUUCAGGCGGGGAGAAACUGAAUCAAUCCGAGCAAGAAAAUAUACCUUUAGGUGGAGAGAAACUGAAUCAAUUUGAGCAAGAAAAUAUACCUUUAGGUGGAGAGAAACUGAAUCAAUUUGAGCAAGAAAAUAUACCUUUAGGUGGAGAGAAACUGAAUCAAUUCGAGCAAGAAAAUAUACCUUUAGGUGGAGAGAAACUGAAUCAAUUCGAGCAAGAAAAUAUACCUUUAGGUGGAGAGACACUGGAUAUAUGUGAGCAAGAACAUAUACCCUCAGAUGGAGAGAAAAUUUAUCAAUCCGAGCCAGAGGAUAUACCUUCAAACGGAGAGAAACAGAACGUAAAUGCACAAGAACACAUACCCUCAGACAGAGAGAAACUGAAUCAAUCCGUGCCAGAGUACAUAACUUCAGGCGGAGAGAAACUGAAUCUAUAUGCGCAAGAACAUAUACCCUCAGAUGGAGAGAAACUGAAUCUAUAUGUGCAAGAACAUAUACCCUCAGACAGAGAGAAACUGAAUCAAUCUGAACAAGAGGAUAUAACUUCAGGCGGGGAGAAACUGAAUCAAUCCGAGCAAGAAAAUAUACCUUUAGGUGGAGAGAAACUGAAUCAAUUUGAGCAAGAAAAUAUACCUUUAGGUGGAGAAAAACUGAAUCAAUUUGAGCAAGAAAAUAUACCUUUAGGUGGAGAGAAAAUUAAUCAAUCCGAGACAGAGGAUAUACCUUUAGGUGGAGAGAAACUGAAUCAAUCUGAGCCAGAGUAUAUAAUUUCAGGCGGAGAGAAACUGAAUCAAUUCGAGCCAGAGUAUAUAAUUUCAGGCGGAGAGAAACUGGAUAUAUGUGAGCAAGAACAUAUACCCUCAGACAGAGAGAAAAUGAAUCAAUCCGAUCCCGAGUAUAUACCUUCAGGUGCAGAGAAACUGAAUCAGUCUGAGCAAGAGUGUAUACCUUCAUGUGCAGAGAAACUGAAUCAGUCUGAGCAAGAGUGUAUACCUUCAUGUGCAGAGAAACUGAAUCAGUCUGAGCAAGAGUGUAUACCUUCAGGUGCAGAGAAACUGAAUCAGUCUGAGCAAGAGUGUAUACCUUCAGGUGCAGAGAAACUGAAUCAGUCUGAGCAAGAGUGUAUACCUUCAGGUGCAGAGAAACUGAAUCAGUCUGAGCAAGAGUGUAUACCUUCAGGUGCAGAGAAACUGAAUCAGUCUGAGCAAGAGUGUAUACCUUCAGGUGCAGAGAAACUGAAUCAGUCUGAGCAAGAGCAUAUACCUUCAGGUGGAGAGAAACUGAAUCCGUCUGAGCAAAAGUGUAUACCUUCAUGUGCAGAGAAACUGAAUCAGUCUGAGCAAGAGUGUAUACCUUCAGGUGCAGAGAAACUGAAUCAGUCUGAGCAAGAGUGUAUACCUUCAGGUGCAGAGAAACUGAAUCAGUCUGAGCAAGAGUGUAUACCUUCAGGUGCAGAGAAACUGAAUCAGUCUGAGCAAGAGUGUAUACCUUCAGGUGCAGAGAAACUGAAUCAGUCUGAGCAAGAGUGUAUACCUUCAGGUGCAGAGAAACUGAAUCAGUCUGAGCAAGAGUGUAUACCUUCAGGUGCAGAGAAACUGAAUCAGUCUGAGCAAGAGCAUAUACCUUCAGGUGGAGAGAAACUGAAUCCGUCUGAGCAAAAGUGUCUUUCCUCAGAGGUUAUGUAUUCGGUGCACUCUAGGAUUCUAAUGACAUCUGAUCACACAUCUCUUAGAGAAGGUUCAGUAGAAAUAUCCCAAGAAGAAUAUUUGGCUCAAGGUAAGGUAUUCAGUGGGGGACUGGAAACUGAAGCUGUACCAGACAAAAUAGAAGGACAGGAUGACCAGAACCUUUAUAUGUCGACUCAUGCAGACUUCACUGAAAGCCAUUCUAUCUACAGCAGUUUAAACAGCAGGCCUGAGAGUCAAACCGACAUGAACAACUUGGAUAUAGAAGAGUCCAACAGCACAGAUGAUGAGUCGCCAAAUGCAAGCCAGUAUUUGCAACCUGUCGCCAAAGCAAAUCUAACUGCAGAUCAGGAAGACUUGUUAGAUGUGGCAGUCUCUCACUAUGAGGAUUGCAAUACUCUUAUUGAACAUUCUGCAGAAGAGGUCACUAGCUAUCAGGCAAGUAAUGAAUGUCUUCAGACAGAUGAAUGGGAAGUCUUAGAAAGUCCAAACAAACACCUGGAAUCUGGAGAUCCUUUUGCAGGUCACAAGAGAGACUCUGAGAGAUCAUCCAAAACUGACAGCGAAGCCCGGGACCUCCACAGCUUCCUCAGCUCUGGUGUACACAACAACUUCUGGGGUUCCAAUCUGGAGACAGGAGCCCCCUAUCAACCGGAUGAGCCAUAUGACCAUGUGACCGAGCUACCCAAUCAGAACCUAGCCUUGGCUAACAACCUAUCCUGGGUGGAUUUGGAGAAUCCACAGGCAACUAAUUGGAACACAAAGAUGGACAGCGACACACCUAAAGCUUCCACCCUUGAAGAAGAGGACGAACAGAUGCCCUCACAGGUGAAGCAGCUGGUUUGUAAAGAUGUGGUAGAGGGUGUGAAUGUUACUUCUGAAGGUUCUGAAGAUGGAGACUCCUGGUCAUCUGGGGAAGAAUAG